UACAGAGGUGGCAAGCGUUGUUCGGAAUUACUGGGCGUAAAGGGCGCGUAGGCGGCUUUCUAAGUCAGACGUGAAAUCCCCCGGCUUAACCUGGGAACUGCGUCUGAUACUGGGGGGCUAGAGUGCGGGAGAGGGAUGCGGAAUUCCAGGUGUAGCGGUGAAAUGCGUAGAUAUCUGGAGGAACACCGGUGGCGAAGGCGGCAUCCUGGACCGACACUGACGCUGAGGCGCGAAAGCUAGGGUAGCAAACGGG
RNAcentral lists this ribosomal RNA (253 nucleotides) under uncultured bacterium. RNAcentral's name for it is "partial 16S ribosomal RNA". It matches the Rfam family "Bacterial small subunit ribosomal RNA", at positions 524 to 776 of the family's 1533-position model. The record is from RNAcentral.